CUAGAUCAGUAGGCCUCGAUCCUACAAAAUAUUAAUUAACAAUUAAACACCCAAGCCAGCGGACUUUGAUCU
This 72-nucleotide transfer RNA is filed under the name Gekko coi (Leonard's forest gecko). RNAcentral's name for it is "tRNA-Asx". The record is from RNAcentral. Lineage: Eukaryota; Metazoa; Chordata; Lepidosauria; Squamata; Gekkonidae.